UGGGGAAUUUUGGACAAUGGGCGAAAGCCUGAUCCAGCAAUGCCGCGUGUGUGAAGAAGGCCUUCGGGUUGUAAAGCACUUUUGUCCGGAAAGAAAUCCUUGGCUCUAAUACAGUCGGGGGAUGACGGUACCGGAAGAAUAAGCACCGGCUAACUACGUGCCAGCAGCCGCGGUAAUACGUAGGGUGCAAGCGUUAAUCGGAAUUACUGGGCGUAAAGCGUGCGCAGGCGGUUUUGUAAGACGGAUGUGAAAUCCCCGGGCUUAACCUGGGAACUGCAUUCGUGACUGCAAGGCUAGAGUAUGGCAGAGGGGGGUAGAAUUCCACGUGUAGCAGUGAAAUGCGUAGAGAUGUGGAGGAAUACCGAUGGCGAAGGCAGCCCCCUGGGCCAAUACUGACGCUCAUGCACGAAAGCGUGGGGAGCAAACAGGAUUNGAUACCCUGGUAGUCCACGCCCUAAACGAUGUCAACUAGUUGUUGGGGAUUCAUUUCCUUAGUAACGUAGCUAACGCGUGAAGUUGACCGCCUGGGGAGUACGGUCGCAAGAUUAAAACUCAAAGGAAUUGACGGGGUCAUAGCUGUUUCC
RNAcentral lists this ribosomal RNA (584 nucleotides) under uncultured bacterium. RNAcentral describes it as "partial 16S ribosomal RNA". It matches the Rfam family "Bacterial small subunit ribosomal RNA", at positions 355 to 937 of the family's 1533-position model. The record is from RNAcentral.